CGUGGUAUCCUGUCUGAAUAUGGGGGGACCAUCCUCCAAGGCUAAAUACUCCUGACUGACCGAUAGUGAACCAGUACCGUGAGGGAAAGGCGAAAAGAACCCCGGCGAGGGGAGUGAAAAAGAACCUGAAACCGUGUACGUACAAGCAGUGGGAGCACGCUUAGGCGUGUGACUGCGUACCUUUUGUAUAAUGGGUCAGCGACUUAUAUUCUGUAGCAAGGUUAACCGAAUAGGGGAGCCGAAGGGAAACCGAGUCUUAACUGGGCGUUAAGUUGCAGGGUAUAGACCCGAAACCCGGUGAUCUAGCCAUGGGCAGGUUGAAGGUUGGGUAACACUAACUGGAGGACCGAACCGACUAAUGUUGAAAAAUUAGCGGAUGACUUGUGGCUGGGGGUGAAAGGCCAAUCAAACCGGGAGAUAGCUGGUUCUCCCCGAAAGCUAUUUAGGUAGCGCCUCGUGAAUUCAUCUCCGGGGGUAGAGCACUGUUUCGGCAAGGGGGUCAUCCCGACUUACCAACCCGAUGCAAACUGCGAAUACCGGAGAAUGUUAUCACGGGAGACACACGGCGGGUGCUAACGUCCGUCGUGAAGAGGGAAACAACCCAGACCGCCAGCUAAGGUCCCAAAGUCAUGGUUAAGUGGGAAACGAUGUGGGAAGGCCCAGACAGCCAGGAUGUUGGCUUAGAAGCAGCCAUCAUUUAAAGAAAGCGUAAUAGCUCACUGGUCGAGUCGGCCUGCGCGGAAGAUGUAACGGGGCUAAACCAUGCACCGAAGCUGCGGCAGCGACGCUUAUGCGUUGUUGGGUAGGGGAGCGUUCUGUAAGCCUGUGAAGGUGUGCUGUGAGGCAUGCUGGAGGUAUCAGAAGUGCGAAUGCUGACAUAAGUAACGAUAAAGCGGGUGAAAAGCCCGCUCGCCGGAAGACCAAGGGUUCCUGUCCAACGUUAAUCGGGGCAGGGUGAGUCGACCCCUAAGGCGAGGCCGAAAGGCGUAGUCGAUGGGAAACAGGUUAAUAUUCCUGUACUUGGUGUUACUGCGAAGGGGGGACGGAGAAGGCUAUGUUGGCCGGGCGACGGUUGUCCCGGUUUAAGCGUGUAGGCUGGUUUUCCAGGCAAAUCCGGAAAAUCAAGGCUGAGGCGUGAUGACGAGGCACUACGGUGCUGAAGCAACAAAUGCCCUGCUUCCAGGAAAAGCCUCUAAGCAUCAGGUAA
This 1207-nucleotide ribosomal RNA is filed under the name Escherichia coli. RNAcentral's name for it is "partial 23S ribosomal RNA". It matches the Rfam family "Bacterial large subunit ribosomal RNA", at positions 425 to 1634 of the family's 2925-position model. The record is from RNAcentral. Lineage: Bacteria; Pseudomonadati; Pseudomonadota; Gammaproteobacteria; Enterobacterales; Enterobacteriaceae.